UGGGGAAUCUUCCGCAAUGGGCGCAAGCCUGACGGAGCAACGCCGCGUGAGUGAAGAAGGUCUUCGGAUCGUAAAGCUCUGUUGAUGGGGACGAACGUGCCUAAUGCGAAUAGUAUUAGGUAAUGACGGUACCCAUCGAGGAAGCCACGGCUAACUACGUGCCAGCAGCCGCGGUAAUACGUAGGUGGCGAGCGUUGUCCGGAAUCAUUGGGCGUAAAGGGAGCGCAGGCGGGCAUGUAAGUCUUUCUUAAAAGUGCGGGGCUCAACCCCGUGAUGGGACAGAAACUAUGUGUCUUGAGUACAGGAGAGGAAGGCGGAAUUCCCAGUGUAGCGGUGAAAUGCGUAGAUGUUGGGAGGAACACCAGUGGCGAAGGCGGCUUUCUGGACUGCAACUGACGCUGAGGCUCGAAAGCCAGGGGAGCGAACGGG
RNAcentral lists this ribosomal RNA (429 nucleotides) under bacterium. RNAcentral's name for it is "partial 16S ribosomal RNA". It matches the Rfam family "Bacterial small subunit ribosomal RNA", at positions 355 to 776 of the family's 1533-position model. The record is from RNAcentral.